AUGGGCGCCCGGGUGAAAGCUCUAGUAACACCACGUGGGGCGUCCACCCUGCAGAAAGACACGUUUACAGCGAACGGCUCCUACACACCAGCCGGGUUUAUUCAUUCCCUCCCGAGAGCGGGCUCCGGGCGCGCGGGAAACAAGGAAAACGCACGUACCUGGCGGUGCUCCGAGGGCGGCCUCGCGGGCCUUCCGCUGGCGAGGGGCCCCUCGAAGCCACUCCCCACCCGGCUAGUGGUCCCACGGCCCAUCCCUCCCUCCCCGGCGACGCACCCGCCAAGCCAACUCUCCAGGAAGCGCAAGAAGCCGGAGACCUGGCCUGCCUUCGUGGUCGCCGCACAUCCCGCCCGUGAUCCGCAGAGGGUCCCCGCGGGUCCGGGGGGGACUCCGGGCCCGGGAGCGGCGCAAGGGAUGCCGAUCGGCGGAUCCAGUUGCAGGCUCGGCCCAGCCUUCUGCGACCGGGCUCUGGCAUUCCCGGGUUGGCGGGCCCGCUGCAGAGACAGACACGGAGCUUUCGGGGAAGAAGGGGCGGCCGCGGUCCAGCAACCUGCCUGGCCUGCCACAGUCUUGAGGCUGCUGAACACUUGCUGAUGGACCAACAGAACCUCACAACCUGAGGUGACACAUCAGGCUCGAGGGCCUGGGUGCCCACAACCAAAGUAAACCAGCAGUGAACAACAGAACUACCAUCAAUCUGGGUGCCGAGUGGCUUGGGCAGUCAAGACCAAAGUGGAACCGUGGCCACGCUCUCAGAGAGGAAG
RNAcentral lists this long non-coding RNA (761 nucleotides) under Chinchilla lanigera (long-tailed chinchilla). RNAcentral describes it as "lncRNA (ENSCLAG00000027766.1)". Lineage: Eukaryota; Metazoa; Chordata; Mammalia; Rodentia; Chinchillidae. The record is from RNAcentral.